UCUUGGUCAUUUAGAGGAAGUAAAAGUCGUAACAAGGUUUCCGUAGGUGAACCUGCGGAAGGAUCAUUAAUGAAACUUCAAAGUCGGCUUGUCAUCUGUGCUGGUGGAGACACAUGUGCACGUUGCAAGUCGCAAAUCCCACACACCUGUGCACCUAUGACUCUGAGUACUGCUUUGCAUGGGCCCCUCAAAGGCCCUGGUACUCGAGUACUUUUACACACUCUGAAUGUAAUGGAAUGUCUAUUGUACAAUGUACAACCAAAACAACUUUCAACAACGGAUCUCUUGGCUCUCGCAUCGAUGAAGAACGCAGCGAAAUGCGAUAAGUAAUGUGAAUUGCAGAAUUCAGUGAAUCAUNNAAUCUUUGAACGCACCUUGCACCCUUUGGUAUUCCGAAGGGUACACCCGUUUGAGUGUCAUUGUAAUCUCACCCCCUUGACUUUUUUGUUGAUCGGUGUGGACUUGGAUGUUGCCGUGUAACAAACGGCUCGUCUGAAAUGCCUGAGUGUACCCUGCUUUGCAGCGUAUUCGGUGUGAUAAAUCUUUACCGGAGUUGACUUUUUCAAGUCGCGCUUGUACCUGUGGGCUCUAUGCUUCCAAACAGUCCUGACAAGGACAAUCUUUGACAANUUGACCUCAAAUCGGGUGGGACUACCUGCUGAACUUAAGCAUAUCAAUAAGCGGAGGAA
This 689-nucleotide ribosomal RNA is filed under the name uncultured fungus. RNAcentral describes it as "eukaryotic LSU rRNA". The stretch from base 266 to 419 matches the Rfam family "5.8S ribosomal RNA". The record is from RNAcentral. Lineage: Eukaryota; Fungi.